RNAcentral lists this ribosomal RNA (452 nucleotides) under uncultured Spirochaeta sp. RNAcentral describes it as "bacterial SSU rRNA". It matches the Rfam family "Bacterial small subunit ribosomal RNA", at positions 933 to 1382 of the family's 1533-position model. Lineage: Bacteria; Pseudomonadati; Spirochaetota; Spirochaetia; Spirochaetales; Spirochaetaceae. The record is from RNAcentral.
UGGAGCAUGUGGUUUAAUUCGAUGGUACGCGAGGAACCUUACCAGGGCUUGACAUACGCCGGAAGCGCAUCGAAAGGUGCGUGCCGCUUGCGGCCGGCGUACAGGUGCUGCAUGGCUGUCGUCAGCUCGUGCUGUGAAGUGUUGGGUUAAGUCCCGCAACGACGCGCAACCCCUGCUGCCUGUUGCCACCACGAGGAGGUGGGGACUCAGGCGGGACCGCCGGUGACAAACCGGAGGAAGGUGGGGACGGACGUCAAGUCAUCAUGGCCCUUAUGUCCUGGGCUACACACGUGCUACAAUGGCCGGUACAGAGCGCAGCGAGGCCGCGAGGCGGAGCGAAUCGACUUAAAGCCGGUCCCAGUACGGAUUGGAGUCUGCAACCCGACUCCAUGAAGUUGGAAUCGCUAGUAAUCGCGCAUCAGCAUGGCGCGGUGAAUACGUUCCCGGGCCUU